GUGCUUGCUUUGGCAGCACAUAUACUAAAAUUAGAAUGAUAUAGAGAUUAGCAUGGUCCCCACCCAAGGAUGACACACAAAUUUGUGAAGCAUUCCAUAUAAAA
Small nuclear RNA from Ochotona curzoniae (black-lipped pika), 104 nucleotides. The record is from RefSeq and is a predicted model, not a curated record. Lineage: Eukaryota; Metazoa; Chordata; Mammalia; Lagomorpha; Ochotonidae.